CAAGGAUGUUUUGAGAAUAGCUCCUUUCCCACCAAUCACCCAUUUAUUUGGCAAAUUACCCUCUUAGUUAAAAGGAAUUACUAAAAAGCCUGGUAGUCCUGAGCCAUCUUUGGAGUCUCCCCUGUGGUAUGGGUGCAUAGCCCAGGACCGUCCUGUUGGGACUCUGGUGGCUGAUCUCGGGACUCCCCAGCCACAAGAUCCAGAUGUAGAUGAUUCCCCUGAUGGUGACGAUCAAUUAUGGCGGAGUGGAUCAUUACCCAGGAGGUCUUUCAAAAAAGUCGACAUACUCCCCAUGGUUCACCUGCUCACUUGGAGGCAACCCACUAACCUGACCAGUUUUGUUUUGUACCUUAAGACAUUGAAAAUUAAAUGCCCUGAAUGAAGAGAAUCACAGACUCUCAGAAGCUAUCCAGUCCAAUCAAUAACUGACAUCCGACCUCUCCAUAACAAGCACAGAUUGGGGAAGAAAAAAAAACCCAUUGUCUUCAUGAUUAUUUGAUAUUGUGGUCAAGAGAUGACCUGUGAAAUAACAUCUGAUGACUUUUACAUUCAGCAGUGUGACAUUUGAAGUUUUUUUAUUAGUGUUUUAGAGAAGUUUUUUUUUCCCUGUACAGGUAUUGAUACUUUGCAUUUCUUCUCUUGAAAAUUGUUUGCUCCUAUCCUUUGACCACUGACUGAUGACUCUUGGUCAUAAACAUUUAUAUCAGUUCAUUUUUAUCUUGGAUAUCAUACCUCUAUGAGAGAUAUUUUGUGCAAAGUUUUCUCCCCCAAAGAGAAUGUUCUCUUCUCAUUUUGUUAACAUUGAUUUUG
Molecule: long non-coding RNA, 810 nt
Filed under: Phascolarctos cinereus (koala)
Lineage: Eukaryota; Metazoa; Chordata; Mammalia; Diprotodontia; Phascolarctidae
Description: lncRNA (ENSPCIG00000035327.1)
Source: RNAcentral